RNAcentral lists this ribosomal RNA (1042 nucleotides) under uncultured bacterium. Its description in RNAcentral is "bacterial SSU rRNA". It matches the Rfam family "Bacterial small subunit ribosomal RNA". The record is from RNAcentral.
CCACUUCGGAUGCUCGAGUUUUCAGCAGAUAGAGUUUGAUCCUGGCUCAGAUUGAACGCUGGCGGCAUGCCUUACACAUGCAAGUCGAACGGUAACAGGCCGCAAGGUGCUGACGAGUGGCGAACGGGUGAGUAAUGCAUCGGAACGUGCCCAGAGGUGGGGGAUAACGCAGCGAAAGCUGUGCUAAUACCGCAUGUGAUCUGAGGAUGAAAGCGGGGGACCGAGAGGCCUCGCGCCUUUGGAGCGGCCGAUGUCGGAUUAGCUAGUUGGUGGGGUAAAGGCCUACCAAGGCGACGAUCCGUAGCUGGUCUGAGAGGACGACCAGCCACACUGGGACUGAGACACGGCCCAGACUCCUACGGGAGGCAGCAGUGGGGAAUUUUGGACAAUGGGCGCAAGCCUGAUCCAGCAAUGCCGCGUGCGGGAAGAAGGCCUUCGGGUUGUAAACCGCUUUUGGCAGGAACGAAAGGCUCUGGGCUAAUACCCUGGGGUGAUGACGGUACCUGCAGAAUAAGCACCGGCUAACUACGUGCCAGCAGCCGCGGUAAUACGUAGGGUGCGAGCGUUAAUCGGAAUUACUGGGCGUAAAGCGUGCGCAGGCGGUUGUGCAAGACAGGCGUGAAAUCCCCGGGCUUAACCUGGGAAUGGCGCUUGUGACUGCACGGCUGGAGUGCGGCAGAGGGGGAUGGAAUUCCGCGUGUAGCAGUGAAAUGCGUAGAUAUGCGGAGGAACACCGAUGGCGAAGGCAGUCCCCUGGGGCCUGCACUGACGCUCAUGCACGAAAGCGUGGGGAAGCAAACAGGAUUAGAUACCCCUGGUUAGUCCACGCCCUAAACGAUGUCGACUGGUUGUUGGCCUUUAGGUGCCUCAGUAACGAAGCUAACGCGAGAAGUCGACCAGCCUGGGAGUAUACGGCCGCAAGUUGAAACUCAAGGAAUUGACUGACUCUGUCUGAAGAAGCUGCCUACGAGUAUGCUCAGACUGCAUAGUAGAUUGCAAGGUUGCAUUCAGUCUGUGUCCGUCGCAAGCCAUCUGUUCUUAG